GACGAACGCUGGCGGCGUGCCUAAUACAUGCAAGUAGAACGCUGAAGAGAGGAGCUUACUCUUCUUGGAUGAGUUGCGAACGGGUGAGUAACGCGUAGGUAACCUGCCUUGUAGCGGGGGAUAACUAUUGGAGACGAUAGCUAAUACCGCAUAACAAUGGAUGACACAUGUCAUUUAUUUGAAAGGGGCAAUUGCUCCACUACAAGAUGGACCUGCGUUGUAUUAGCUAGUAGGUGAGGUAAUGGCUCACCUAGGCGACGAUACAUAGCCGACCUGAGAGGGUGAUCGGCCACACUGGGACUGAGACACGGCCCAGACUCCUACGGGAGGCAGCAGUAGGGAAUCUUCGGCAAUGGGGGCAACCCUGACCGAGCAACGCCGCGUGAGUGAAGAAGGUUUUCGGAUCGUAAAGCUCUGUUGUAAGUCAAGAACGGGUGUGAGAGUGGAAAGUUCACACUGUGACGGUAGCUUACCAGAAAGGGACGGCUAACUACGUG
This 497-nucleotide ribosomal RNA is filed under the name uncultured bacterium. Its description in RNAcentral is "partial 16S ribosomal RNA". It matches the Rfam family "Bacterial small subunit ribosomal RNA", at positions 28 to 507 of the family's 1533-position model. The record is from RNAcentral.